UACGUAGGGUGCAAGCGUUGUCCGGAAUUAUUGGGCGUAAAGAGCUCUUAGGCGGCUUGUCGCGUCGGCUGUGAAAACCUGGGGCUCAACUCCGGGCCUGCAGCCGAUACGGGCAAGCUAGAAUUCGGUAGGGGAGACUGGAAUUCCUGGUGUAGCGGUGAAAUGCGUAGAUAUCAGGAGGAACACCUGUGGCGAAAGCGGCGCACUGGACCACAACUGACGCUGAGGCGCGAAAGCUAGGGGAGCAAACAGG
Molecule: ribosomal RNA, 253 nt
Filed under: uncultured bacterium
Lineage: Bacteria
Description: partial 16S ribosomal RNA
Rfam family: Bacterial small subunit ribosomal RNA
Source: RNAcentral